Molecule: small nuclear RNA, 119 nt
Organism: Crocodylus porosus (Australian saltwater crocodile)
Lineage: Eukaryota; Metazoa; Chordata; Crocodylia; Crocodylidae
Gene: U2
Rfam family: U2 spliceosomal RNA
About the family: U2 is a small nuclear RNA (snRNA) component of the spliceosome (involved in pre-mRNA splicing). Complementary binding between U2 snRNA (in an area lying towards the 5' end but 3' to hairpin I) and the branchpoint sequence (BPS) of the intron results the bulging out of an unpaired adenosine, on the BPS, which initiates a nucleophilic attack at the intronic 5' splice site, thus starting the first of two transesterification reactions that mediate splicing.
Source: Ensembl
UGUCCUCCAUCGGAGGUCUAUAUUGAGCAGAUUCUUUUUGGUGUUGGGUGGUGGAACCGGAGCUUGCUCCAUCCACUCCAUGCAUUGACCUGGUAUUCCAGUGCUUCCAGGACCGCUGC